RNAcentral lists this long non-coding RNA (1922 nucleotides) under Callithrix jacchus (white-tufted-ear marmoset). RNAcentral describes it as "lncRNA (ENSCJAG00000078359.1)". Lineage: Eukaryota; Metazoa; Chordata; Mammalia; Primates; Cebidae. The record is from RNAcentral.
UAGCAAAUAGACUACCAUGUAGUAAAGGAUCAACAAGAAAGUAUGAGUGGCCCAAACCCUGCCUCUUCUAAAGAAAGCUUUGGCACUUACCUGGAUCGUGGGAAAUAAUUUCUAAGCCCCUGGAACAUUUUGCCUGUUAAGAAUGUGUGUCUUUGCCAGACACCUUUGGCCCAUCAGAGAGUCUGUAGUAGCAAUGUAAUUUAUGGUGGGAAUUUUGAGCAGCACGACAUCAGCUUGACCUCUGGAGGGGAUGGAGAAAAGGUCAUCCACCUGGGUAAUCUGCCAUGUCUACGUUGUUAAACCCCCAAUAAAAACUCUGGACACGCAGACUCUGGUGAGACUCUCUGGCUGACAAUACUUAGCACGUGUUGUCACACAUCAUUGGUGGGAGAACUAAGUACUGUCUACAUGACUCAACUGGGAAAGGGCAGCUGAAAACUUAUGCCUGGACUCUCCUGGCCUCUGACCAAUAGAAAUAGCUUAUGUGCUUUUUUGCUGAUUUUAAUCUCUGUCCUUUCGCUGUAAUUAACUGUGAGCAUAACAGUCUUUUAAAGUUCAGUGAGUCCUUUUACUGAAUCAUUAAACCAAAGUGUGAUCUUGAGGACCAAACACAACUACAAAGUCUUAAUGGCAUGACACAAUAAAAGUUUACUUGCUGUUUAUGUGAAGUCUUCUGCAGGACUGGGUGCCCUAAUGGCCAACCAUUCUCUAAGCAGUUAGAGAACCAGGCUCUGCCAUCUCAGAGUCCACUGUUUCUAGUCACACAGACGGCAGAAUGAGAGCAAGGAAGAACAUGCAGGAUGUUUUAGAGGCCAGGCUUGUAAGUUUAAGUGUCACUUCUGUUCAGAUUCUAUUGGCCAGAACCCAGUCAUAUGGUGCCAGCCUAAAACAAGGAUGGUUGAAGAGGGGUCUUCUUGUGUCACCAAGAAGAGGAAAUAAAAAUGAUCUACUUCUUUAUUAUCUUUUUGGAGAACAGGAAUCUUUGUCUGGAAAUUCCACACGUUUGCCUUCUGCAAGAUUAAAAGUGCCACAAAGAACAAAAAUGAGCCUAGGACCAGGUGCACACUAGAAGCCAUUAGACAUGUUAAAGUUUCAUCUCCAUUGACCUGGUAAGCCUGAUAGUAUAAAUGCACUUUUACCUCUUUAAAUAUUAUCAGUGGUAGAAAGUACAUGGCAGGUUUAGGGGAGCCAGGUGGAAUGUGGUUUUGAGCCUUGUGACCUGCGUGUUAGUUAAUGAGUGCUUAGACUGAACCUUUGCAUUUAAUGCUCAGGACAAAUAGCUGAUGAGGGGAGGGGCCGGAACUACAGGAGCAACUCCCUUUGAUCACUUGCCAGUAGAGCAAGGCCUUGGUAAUAACUGCAAGUUAAUAGGCUGAUGUGGCCAUGGCAAAGCCCUGGUGCAAUCCUUGCUAUUGGGGGCAGGAGACAGGAACCCACGUGGGGCAUGGUACUGACAGGGACCCACAUGGGGAAUGGUAAUGACAGGGACGCACGUGGGGAAUGGUAACAUAACAAGUGGUGGAGGACUUUCCACCUUACAUAUAGUCAUCCCUGGCUAUUAAGGUAGAUACUAUCUUCAUCAUCUUUAUUUUACAGAUCUAGAAAUGGAGUCACUGGUAGGUAAAGUAAUUUGCCUGAGGUGAUGCAACCACAGUGACAGAGCUGGCAUUUGAACAGAGCCUGGCUGUAGCCUCCAUUUAAUAAACUGCACACCAAAUAUUUCUCCCAGGGAAGGAAGCCACAGUGUGCUGCUUUUUUGGGCUUCCUCUGCAACCUACUCUGGCAUACAGGUCCUGCUCUCUUAUUAGUCUUAGACUGCUUUCUUAUGGAUGAAAUGGGAAUGCUGACGCCUGCUUUAAAUUGUUAGUGGGAUUGAAUGUCUGCAAAGAGUUGCUGCUCAGUCAAAGAGAAAAAGUAAAACA